AACGAACGCUGGCGGCAGGCCUAACACAUGCAAGUCGAACGCUGUAGCAAUACAGAGUGGCAGACGGGUGCGUAACGCGUGGGAACAUACCCUUUGGUUCGGAAUAACUCAGGGAAACUUGAGCUAAUACCGGAUAAGCCCUUACGGGGAAAGAUUUAUCGCCAAUGGAUUGGCCCGCGUCUGAUUAGCUAGUUGGUGAGGUAAUGGCUCACCAAGGCGACGAUCAGUAGCUGGUCUGAGAGGAUGACCAGCCACACUGGGACUGAGACACGGCCCAGACUCCUACGGGAGGCAGCAGUGGGGAAUAUUGGACAAUGGGCGAAAGCCUGAUCCAGCCAUGCCGCGUGAGUGAUGAAGGCCUUAGGGUUGUAAAGCUCUUUUACUCGGGAAGAUAAUGACUGUACCGAGAGAAUAAGCCCCGGCUAACUUCGUGCCAGCCGCCGCCGU
RNAcentral lists this ribosomal RNA (447 nucleotides) under uncultured bacterium. RNAcentral describes it as "bacterial SSU rRNA". It matches the Rfam family "Bacterial small subunit ribosomal RNA", at positions 29 to 521 of the family's 1533-position model. The record is from RNAcentral.